Long non-coding RNA from Melanotaenia boesemani (Boeseman's rainbowfish), 213 nucleotides. RefSeq lists it as uncharacterized. The record is from RefSeq and is a predicted model, not a curated record. NCBI's taxonomy places the organism in Eukaryota, Metazoa, Chordata, Actinopteri, Atheriniformes, Melanotaeniidae. The transcript has 3 exons.
UUGUUUCUAGGUGUUAGCAUUGUUUCCUGGUGUUAGCAUUGUUUCCACAAGUUAAUUUUGUUUCCAGGUGUUAGCAUUGUUUCCACAAGUUAACAUUGUUUCCAGGUGUUAGCAUUGUUUCCAGGUGUUAGCAUUGUUUCCAGGUGUUAGCAUUGUUUCCACAAGUUAACAUUGUUUCCAGGUGUUAGCAUUGUUUCCAGGUGUUAGCAUUGU